This 278-nucleotide small RNA is filed under the name Arabidopsis thaliana (thale cress). RNAcentral describes it as "ATSL284500". Lineage: Eukaryota; Viridiplantae; Streptophyta; Magnoliopsida; Brassicales; Brassicaceae. The record is from RNAcentral.
UUUUGGAAGAAGGUAGUUAGAAGCUUCGACGCGAUUGCUAUUCUUUGAGCUUUCUCCUUGGGUGAAAAAUACUUUUUGUUGGUUACUGAUGAGAAAAGUUUUCUCUACCAGUUGUAUUAUGAAUCUAUUCUUUUAACUAUCAAACAUUUGGCCCUCUAUUUUUUUGGUCGUUGUCGCUAGUUAAGCGAUUGAGAAAAGAAGAGGCUCAACGACUGAAGUUAAUGAUUUCGUAACACCGUGAUGUCUAAUACUUAUUACUAAAGCAAUUAAACUAGUGA